Molecule: ribosomal RNA, 253 nt
Filed under: uncultured bacterium
Lineage: Bacteria
Description: partial 16S ribosomal RNA
Rfam family: Bacterial small subunit ribosomal RNA
Source: RNAcentral
UACAGAGGGUGCAAGCGUUGUUCGGAAUUACUGGGCGUAAAGCGCGUGUAGGCGGCGGCGUAAGUCGGGUGUGAAAUCCCUCAGCUCAACUGAGGAAGUGCACUCGAUACUGUGUCGCUUGAAUGUCGGAGGGGAUGGCGGAAUUCCCGGUGUAGAGGUGAAAUUCGUAGAUAUCGGGAGGAACACCUGUGGCGAAGGCGGCCAUCUGGACGACGAUUGACGCUGAGACGCGAAAGCGUGGGGAGCAAACAGG